AACGAACGCUGGCGGCAGGCUUAACACAUGCGAGUUGAACGGGAUUUGUAUGGUGCUUGCACUAUAUAAUGAGAGUAGCGCACUGGUGAGUAACACGUGGGAACAUACCUUGAAGUGGGGAACAACAGUUGGAAACGACUGCUAAUACCGCAUACGCCCUGAGGGGGAAAGAUUUAUCGCUUUAAGAUUGGCCCGCGGAAGAUUAGGUAGUUGGUGGGGUAAAGGCCUACCAAGCCGACGAUCUAUAGCUGGUCUGAGAGGACGAACAGCCACAUUGGAACUGAGACACGGUCCAG
RNAcentral lists this ribosomal RNA (296 nucleotides) under uncultured bacterium. RNAcentral's name for it is "partial 16S ribosomal RNA". It matches the Rfam family "Bacterial small subunit ribosomal RNA", at positions 29 to 334 of the family's 1533-position model. The record is from RNAcentral.